GACGAACCGUGCGAACGUUGUUCGGAAUCACUGGGCUUAAAGGGCGCGUAGGCGGGCUGCCAAGUCUGGGGUGAAAUCCCACGGCUCAACCGUGGAACUGCCCCGGAUACUGGCGGCCUCGAGGGGGGUAGGGGCGUGCGGAACUGUGGGUGGAGCGGUGAAAUGCGUUGAUAUCCACAGGAACUCCGGUGGCGAAGGCGGCACGCUGGACCUUUUCUGACGCUGAGGCGCGAAAGCCAGGGGAGCAAACGGG
This 253-nucleotide ribosomal RNA is filed under the name uncultured bacterium. Its description in RNAcentral is "partial 16S ribosomal RNA". It matches the Rfam family "Bacterial small subunit ribosomal RNA", at positions 524 to 776 of the family's 1533-position model. The record is from RNAcentral.